UUGACUGUACAAAGGUAGCAUAAUCAUUAGUUUUUUAAUUAAAAGCUUGUAUGAAUGGCUUAAUGAGAAAGAUUCUGUCUUUAUUUAAAUUUUUAUAGAAAUUUAUUUUUAAGUUAAAAAGCUUAAAUUUGUUUAAAAGACGAGAAGACCCUAUAGAGUUUUAUAAGCUAAUUAAUAGUUAAUAUUUAAGUAUAUAAUUUUAUUUGAUUAAUAAGUUUAUUUGGUUGGGGUGAUUUAAAAAUUUAAUAAACUUUUUAUUUUUUGAACAUAAAUAUAUGAGUAACUGAUCCAUUUAGAUGUGAUUAAAAGAUUAAAUUACCUUAGGGAUAACAGCGUAAUUUUUUUGGAGAGUUCUUAUCAAUAAAAAAGGUUGCGACCUCGAUGUUGGAUUAAAAUUUACUAUUGGCGCAGAAGUUGAUGGGUUAGGUCUGUUCGACCUUUAAAAUUUUACAUGAUCUGAGUUUAAACCGGUGUGAGCCAGGUUGGUUUCUAUCUUUAAAAUGUUUAAGGUAUUUUAGUACGAAAGGACCAAAUAUUAAUAAUAAUUAUUUUUAUAUUGAAUUAUAAUAAUAUUGGUUACUUUGGCAGAUUAGUGCAUUAAAUUUAGAAUUUAAUUAUGUAUAGUUAUACAGGUAAUACUUGUUAUUGAUCGAUUAUUUUUUAAUAUUAGUAAGUAGAUUAAU
This 683-nucleotide ribosomal RNA is filed under the name Cyloma sp. SLE0095. RNAcentral's name for it is "partial 16S ribosomal RNA". The stretch from base 1 to 522 matches the Rfam family "Bacterial large subunit ribosomal RNA", at positions 1942 to 2925 of the family's 2925-position model. The record is from RNAcentral. Lineage: Eukaryota; Metazoa; Arthropoda; Insecta; Coleoptera; Hydrophilidae.